GAUGAAGAACGCAGCGAAAUGCGAUAAGUAAUGUGAAUUGCAGAAUUCAGUGAAUCAUCGAGUCUUUGAACGCACAUUGCGCCCCCUGGUAUUCCGGGGGGCAUGCCUGUCCGAGCGUCAUUGCCGCCCUCAAGCACGGCUUGUGUGUUGGGCCCCCGCCCCCCGGCUUCGGGGGGCGGGCCCGAAAGGCAGCGGCGGCACCGCGUCCGGUCCUCGAGCGUAUGGGGCUUCGUCACCCGCUCUGUAGGCCCGGCCGGCGCCCGCCGGCGACCCCAAUCAAUCUUUCCAGGUUGACCUCGGAUCAGGUAGGGAUACCCGCUGAACUUAAGCAUAUCGAUAAGCGGAGGA
RNAcentral lists this unclassified non-coding RNA (348 nucleotides) under soil metagenome. RNAcentral's name for it is "partial contains 5.8S ribosomal RNA, internal transcribed spacer 2, and large subunit ribosomal RNA". The stretch from base 1 to 120 matches the Rfam family "5.8S ribosomal RNA", at positions 35 to 154 of the family's 154-position model. The record is from RNAcentral.